UCGAGAGGCUUCGGCAAUGGGGGAAACCCUGACCGAGCGACGCCGCGUGAGGGAUGAAGCCCUUCGGGGUGUAAACCUCUUUUCUGAGGGAAGAAACCCGUGACGGUGAACAAUCGUCGCGGUUGACGGUACCUCAGGAAUAAGCUCCGGCUAACUCCGUGCCAGCAGCCGCGGUAACACGGGGGGAGCAAACGUUGUUCGGAAUCACUGGGCGUAAAGGGCGCGUAGGCGGCCCCGUAAGUGGUGUGUGAAAUGCCCUGGCUCAACCAGGGAAUAGCGCUCCAAACUGCGGGGCUUGAGGGCAGUAGAGGAAGCUGGAAUUCCAGAUGUAGCGGUGAAAUGCGUAGAUAUCUGGAGGAACACCGUUGGCGUAAGGCGAGCUUCUGGGCUGUCCCUGACGCUGAGGCGCGAAAGCUGGGGGAGCAAACAGGAUUAGAUACCCUGGUAGUCCCAGCUGUAAACGGUGAACACUAGGUGUGGGAGGUGUCGACCCUUCCCGUGCCGCAGCUAACGCU
This 515-nucleotide ribosomal RNA is filed under the name uncultured bacterium. RNAcentral's name for it is "bacterial SSU rRNA". It matches the Rfam family "Bacterial small subunit ribosomal RNA", at positions 355 to 859 of the family's 1533-position model. The record is from RNAcentral.